This 390-nucleotide ribosomal RNA is filed under the name uncultured bacterium. Its description in RNAcentral is "bacterial SSU rRNA". It matches the Rfam family "Bacterial small subunit ribosomal RNA", at positions 30 to 417 of the family's 1533-position model. The record is from RNAcentral.
AUUGAACGCUGGCGGCAUGCCUUACACAUGCAAGUCGAACGGCAGCACGGGAGCAAUCCUGGUGGCGAGUGGCGAACGGGUGAGUAAUAUAUCGGAACGUGCCCAGUCGUGGGGGAUAACGUAGCGAAAGCUACGCUAAUACCGCAUACGAUCUAUGGAUGAAAGCGGGGGAUCGCAAGACCUCGCGCGAUUGGAGCGGCCGAUAUCAGAUUAGGUAGUUGGUGAGGUAAAGGCUCACCAAGCCGACGAUCUGUAGCUGGUCUGAGAGGACGACCAGCCACACUGGGACUGAGACACGGCCCAGACUCCUACGGGAGGCAGCAGUGGGGGAAUUUUUGGGACAAUGGGCGCAAGCCUGAUCCAGCAAUGCCGCGUGCAGGAUGAAGGCCU